Molecule: unclassified non-coding RNA, 346 nt
Filed under: uncultured Glomeraceae
Lineage: Eukaryota; Fungi; Glomeromycota; Glomeromycetes; Glomerales; Glomeraceae
Description: sequence contains ITS1
Rfam family: 5.8S ribosomal RNA (bases 1-105)
Source: RNAcentral
GAAGUGCGAUAAGUAAUGUGAAUUGCAAAAUUCCGUGAAUCAUCGAAUCUUUGAACGCAAAUUGCACUCUCUGGCAACCCGGGGAGUAUGCCUGUUUGAGGGUCAGUGUUAAUAAAAAUCGGUGCGUUGCAAUUUUUUGUGACGUUCUGGAGUUUGAGUUAUCUUAACUUGGUUCUAAGAGGCUUAAAAUUGACCUUUUUUGUGCAUUUUAGACGUACAUAAAUUUUUUUUUAUUCGUCCAUUCUAAUGCCAAAAUCUAUUAGAUGCGACCAUAUCUUGUGGUUCCGUGUCUAUAAAUUUUUCAUGAUUUGACCUCAAAUCAGGUAGGAACACCCGCUGAACUUAA